AACCCGUUGAAUGACAGCGUCACCUGCUGCAGCGCGGGAAGCUCGAACAACGCAAACGGAACGGCGCAGUUUAGCCUGUUGGAGCUCAAAUCCAGAACUUGCAAAUAGUUUAACUUUUUAAAGGUGGAAAGCAUCUUGGAAGACUCGGGAAAUUCAACUUUUGCUGUGGGUAACUCUGCAUUGGCCUGUAACAGAGGUUGAUAUUGUUGAACUUGCAACUACUAUUGAAAAGAUUGAAGGCCUUAUUGUACUUGUUGAAAGUUUUUCCUUUACAGAUUUAAAAUAUUAAGAUCAAGAAAAAAUGGAUCGAAAAUGGAUGUCUGCUAGUCGAUUGUCAAAAGAAUAUGAAGAUGGGGUGAAAGAGUUUCGUAGAUUUGCAGUUGAGCAUGCAAAAGAUCCUAGUAGAAUUAUUUGCCCUUGCUUGAAGUGCUGUCAUUCAAAGGUAGUUA
Molecule: non-coding RNA, 449 nt
Organism: Cajanus cajan (pigeon pea)
Lineage: Eukaryota; Viridiplantae; Streptophyta; Magnoliopsida; Fabales; Fabaceae
Source: RefSeq, a predicted model, not a curated record